Molecule: long non-coding RNA, 453 nt
Organism: Lathyrus oleraceus (garden pea)
Lineage: Eukaryota; Viridiplantae; Streptophyta; Magnoliopsida; Fabales; Fabaceae
Exons: 2
Source: RefSeq, a predicted model, not a curated record
UUGAAGUAAUUAAUACAGUCAAGAUGGAGUCUCACCAUAUGCAUAUAUAAGUAACAGAUAUAUGUGUCAUAUCAUAUGUUAUAUUAAAAAGAUGGAUACUACAAAGAUGUCUGCUCUUAUAAUGAUAUAUCUUUUUGCUUUCUGCUUCUUAACAUCAGAUAUGUGUAAGAAAUCAGAAGGAAGAGAACUUGACGGACCUUGUAAAUCAGAUGGAGAUUGUCAACCUGGAUGUCCUGGAAAAAAAGGGCAAUGUAUUCGCGGUAGAUGUUGGUGUAUUGAAUCAUCAUCUUUAGAUAAUACUACUCCUAGUGUAAUCCCUCGGAUUGCAAACUGAGUAAAUUAGUAUUGUGAGGAAAUAAUCAUGUAAGAAUAAAAAUAAUAUGUAAUAAUACAAUUGUUUUAAAAGGAAAAUAUUUUUCUAAAAUAAAAUAUAAUCUUAUAAAAGUUGGAUAA